UUUUACACUUGCUGGCUAGCUUCCCUGCCUGUCAUUGCUAGCUCUGCUCGCUAAACAGGAAAAGUAUUUCCAGAUAAAAUAGGCCAUACGGUGUUUUACUUCUUAUCUUGGCUUCAAGAACAGUUAGGGACUAGUUCUUAAAUUGAAAGAGGUGAAUCAGGGCAUUAUGGCUCAUGGGUUAUGGCUCCCUUCGCAGAUACCUACGAUGCCCUUGAACACUUAUGCUCACUUAUGGCAAUCAAAUACUUCCUUAAUUGCACUUUUUAUUCAGCUGCUCUCUCUGUGGGUAUGCACGUAUCUAGGUUCACAUUUGCGGGGAUUUACUGUACACUGACAACCCCUAGCUAGAAGAUAGGAGAACUAACUAAGAGAAAGGCUAGAGAAGCAUGCUAGUAUUUCAAUAGCAAUACCAAUAGCACUUAGAUUUAUAUACCACUCUGUAGUGCUUUACAGUACUCCCUGGGCAGUUUACAAUGUCAGCAUAUUGCCCCCAACAAUCUCAUUUUAUCGACCUCAAAAGGAUAGAAAGCUGAGUCAACCUUGAGCCUGUCAGGAUCGAACUCCUGGCUGUGGGCAGAGUUUGCCUGCAAUACUAUGUUCUAACCACAGCACCACCAGGGCUGAAAACUAUUUUUCUCCCCCCAAAAAGUGCCUUUGGAUGGGCACAGUUCUCUCUUCCUGCCUCUUAUAUAAUAUAUACACACAUAUAACCUGACUCCUAUGAGUACAUCAGUUUCUAUGAGUGGAACACUAUACCUAUUUAUGUAAAAGCAAUCUUACUUAAGACAUAUUUUUAAUAAUAAUGUAUAGGCCUGCACUCUCACCUUUUUGGUACUAGACAACCUGCAACAUGUCAGGUCAUCCUUUCAGAAGUAUUUCCAUUUCCAUAAACGGAGAAACGGAAUAACCAUAAGGUGGGCAAAACAGAAGUGACUUCCAACUUUCUGCUGGCUUCCCCAUUGGCUUUCCUUAUAGGAAGCUGUCAGGGAGUGUUGGAAAUAACAACCUCAUGACCACAGCUGACCACAUUGGCACAGUAUCUAGCAUGGUACUGAAGGAGCCACAAAUAUGCCAAAUUUCAGUCCCAUGGGAAUAAUGGGUCCCAGAUUUUUGAUGAAUUUUCUAAAAGAGCCCAUUUGAGGUACAUUGAUUCAAAAACUGUUCUCCUAUGAAACACUAUAUUGCCCCAUUAAUGGAUAUCAAUAAACAGACAUGUGAGUUUCUGUAGUAUACAGGUUAAGGCAUCAGAGUGAUAAUUAGUAAACUAUUAGUAAACUAUCCUGGAUGAAGGGUCCCUGGACCUUUAAAAGUUUUCAGAAACAAGACAUUUCCCAACAAAAGAGACCAAUUCCCAUUAGUCACCUUAGUAGUAACAGAUGUGUAUAUUUUUGUACCUGGCUCUAUUCCAGUAUACACAUGAUCUAACUGGAACUUCAGUGGGAUCAUAACACAUAAUUAGAAAUAAAGUCUGCUGGGACAGCACUUUUAAACUCCAGCUGUUUAGAACUGAAGGUGGUUAGAAAGAAAGAUUUCGGCAUUACUCAGGGUUACCCAAAUAUUUUUAAUGGCAAGCCGCCAUUGUUUCAGUGGGCUCAGGGCAUCUCUAGCAGACAAAUCUUCUUCUAAAGGUGAUGGGAUGACUUCCAGAUUUGAGUUACUCAGCUGGGCUCACAGAUGUACAGAAAGAGAGAAGAAGAAAAGCAUUCAUCUGUCACCACAAAAUAACUGAGGAUUAAAGUUCAUGCCCUGUUAACAAUGCAUUUCUUGUUCGUUCAACAGAAGGACUUUCUUCCUAGUUUGUAAAGUUGUUCUUUGCCUAAUGAGCAAUUAAAAUAAAAUCUUUCUGCAUCGAAGUAAUGCUCAAUAGUAUUGCAUCAGUAUCAACCAUUUCUUACUUUGCCUUCAAAAGCAGUAAACACAUGAGAGCUAGAGUAUGCAGAGGCAAAACAAAAUGUAAAAAAUAAUGUAAAAUACAGAAAUAUCAUAGAAAUAUUAGAGAAGAUAUGGUUUAAGACUUUGAUUUUCAUCUAGCAUUGCUAUACCAUUAGUUUUGGUCUUGUCUCCUUAAUUCCCAGAGCCAGACUGGGCACAAUAACAAGAAAAUGCAUCUAGGAUAUUUUUAUAUUUUUACAGGGCCGCCAAAUCUAAUGCAGGAUCAUUGCAUGAAAGGGCCAAGAAAUAACUUUUCUUCUUGCUGGAUAUAAGUUCUUAGAGUCUCUUUAAUGAAUAAAGCAGGCAAAUUUCCGUAGGGAAAUUCACUGGGAGUGUUGCAACUGAAGACUUUGCAACUUUUCCAUGUACUUGGUUUAUAGACUCAGCUGCCCACAAUGGCAUUACAGCUGUGUUUCCUGGAACAAAGGUUGGAUUUCUUGGGGCAAGAAAGCCUCUUGGCACAUGUCUCAAAAAAAAAAAAAAAAAAAAAAAAAA
Long non-coding RNA from Crotalus tigris (Tiger rattlesnake), 2427 nucleotides. RefSeq lists it as uncharacterized. The transcript is spliced from 2 exons. The record is from RefSeq and is a predicted model, not a curated record. NCBI's taxonomy places the organism in Eukaryota, Metazoa, Chordata, Lepidosauria, Squamata, Viperidae.